This is a small nucleolar RNA of Cavia porcellus (domestic guinea pig), 129 nucleotides long. Its record names the gene SNORA63. It matches the Rfam family "Small nucleolar RNA SNORA63". Rfam says of the family: E3 belongs to the H/ACA class of snoRNAs and is involved in the processing of eukaryotic pre-rRNA and has regions of complementarity to 18S rRNA. The record is from Ensembl. Lineage: Eukaryota; Metazoa; Chordata; Mammalia; Rodentia; Caviidae.
AUGCAGGUACAGUUACAAUAUAACUGAAGUGUGUUCUAUUGUCGUUCCCCCUGCUUAAAGUAUUUGAUACAUUACUAUCUCUGUCUAACUCCAUUCCAUGUUGAGACUGAGACACUUGGUCUCAAACAU